AUGCAGCGGGAGCCCUCGCAGGACCAGCAGGACCAUCUCCUCCAUGCAUGUGGCCUCGCUGUGCGCUCACCUCAAGAACUCGUCUCUGGGACUGGCCGGUUGUUGGGUGUGAAGGCUUCAAGGUUAUUUCGCGGAGCUGGAGCGCUGGCCGCGCAGGCCCUGAGGGCCCGCGGCCCUCUUGGGCUGGCUGCCGUCCGCUCUAUAGCUUCUGGAGGUGGUAUCCCUACUGAGGAGAAGCAGGUGACUGGCCUGGAGAGAGAGAUCAUGCUGGCGGCCCAGAAGGGACUGGACCCGUACAAUAUACUAGCCCCAAAGGGGGCUUCAGGCACCAAGGAAGACCCUAAUUUAGUCCCGUCCAUCACCAACAAGCGAAUAGUGGGCUGCAUCUGUGAAGAGGACAACAGCGCUGUCAUCUGGUUUUGGCUGCACAAAGGCGAGGCUCAGCGGUGCCCAAGCUGUGGAGCCUAUUACAAGCUGGUGCCUCACCAGCUGGCCCACUGACCACCCCCCCCACGGACUCCCUCGAACGUGCUGUAAAGUCUCUUUCCAAUAAAGACGAGCUGGGUAUCAGCUCCUUCCCUCGG
Molecule: RNA transcript, 584 nt
Organism: Octodon degus (degu)
Lineage: Eukaryota; Metazoa; Chordata; Mammalia; Rodentia; Octodontidae
Gene name: cytochrome c oxidase subunit 5B, mitochondrial pseudogene
Exons: 2
Source: RefSeq, a predicted model, not a curated record